Harpia harpyja (harpy eagle) is the source of this 3806-nucleotide long non-coding RNA. RefSeq lists it as uncharacterized. The record is from RefSeq and is a predicted model, not a curated record. Lineage: Eukaryota; Metazoa; Chordata; Aves; Accipitriformes; Accipitridae. The transcript is spliced from 4 exons.
AGCUCCCUGUCUCAACUAGAAUGCCAAAUACUGUACUACUAUACAAGGUUACCACAAAUAUUAGUAGCAGUUAGUUUUGUUGCAAACAAGUAUUCUUUAGUAAAAUUCUACUUUCUGAAACACAAAAGCACUAUAGUUUGGUGUUAAAAGGGAACUUAAAUAUUUAGUAGAAUCAAUUAUUCAGCUUUAUUAAUCAGAAAAAUAUUAAAGUUUCAUGACAAAACUAUAAAAUAAAGAUAUCUACGGUGGAAAUUUUGCUGGUGAAGGUAUUCUGUCAGUUUGGGGAUCUGUCUGAUCUCUCAUAUUUGGCUUUAGAAUCGGUUGCUUGAUUCCCGUCUCUUGCUGCUUCCCAUCUGCAUCUCAACCACAUCCCUUUCAUGAUCGUGUGGUUGAUGCAUGUGCACCAUCAUGUGACCUAACUUCUGCCACUUAUACACUGGUGGGAAAGUUUGCUGAGAGGUCUAAGUUUAGCUCUUUUUGUGGAUAAUUAAAGUUCUUGGAGUACCCUGUACUUUAAGAGCUAGUAUAUCAGGUCAAAUAGGGACAGGCCCUCUAUGCAACCUAGAGGACAGCAGUGGCUAUUAAUGAAUGCUUGAGGAAGGCAUGUAAAUAAUGUCUUGAACUGUAGAAUUUCAAAGGCUUUCAGUAUAUUUUUUAAAAUACUGCUGUUUAAAAAUGCAUUUCAGAUAGGCCUAAGACCAAUGUUAUCAAAGCUGCUAAAGUCAAUUUCUUUCUGUAUAGCCUGCUGCUGUUUAUUUCUUGUUGCUGUUGUUACCUCUCAAAUAGCAUUUUUAUGGUUUACAGUAAAGUGUCCACAGUAAACAAAAAUGACCAUGAAAUCCUAACAAACAAACAAAGUAAAUUAAAAUGUUAUGUUCUUUCAGUUGCAUUAAAUACAAUUUAAUUAAAAUUAAGUUUAAUAUCUGAAAUUAUUUCCAGUAGCAGGUAAUAAAUGUUUAAAUAAAAUCCUUAUUUUGAAGAUGAGUUUUUCUUCUCUAUUUAGGUAGUGUGGCAGAGUUUGUGUAUCGUUCAUGUAUCAUGUAUCGCGUAUAUAAACUGUUACUGUAGUUCAUGCUUUGGAACAGAGGGACAUUACUGAACUAAUACAAGGCAAAUUUCUUUCAUAAUUCAGCUUGUGUCGUUGGGUAAUCAUGGUUUUAUAAAACACUUCAACUUUUUUUUUUUCUUUUACGUUUGGGUUGUUUCAGUGACUUUUUUAAUUUUUUUUUUUUUUUUUUACUUUUUAUUAGCAAUGCUGUACCAUAUUAAAUCAUUUCUUCAUGCAUGAAAGAAAGGUGUAAACUUGAAUACAAAUCCAAAAUGGAGAUCCUUAUCAGAGCAAAAUUGGAGGAACAAAAUAAAACCACAGUAUUGAAGCAGAGAUUCCCAAACUUACUCUACUGAAGUUCGGUCACUGGCAUUGAUGAUUAAAGGACUGUUGGUGCCGAUGGUGUUAAUUUCUCUGGUUUUAUAGGUGUAUCUCAGAGUAGGACCUCUAGCCUAUGUUCAUCAACCUGUGAGACACACCUGAAAGCAGGACCCAACUCUGUGCUUCCUGCCUCGCUUACUGGUUUAUCACCCCCCGCUUCACUCCAUCCUAGUCUCAUAUAUCAAAAUCUACUUAAGUACAGCAGGGCCACUUCGAAAAUUGCUCUCAAAACAGUACCUGCUUAAAAGAUGUUUAAAGUGAAAUGAAAGUGUGAUACUGGUUACAGGUGUAGCUGGGAAGUACUAUAACGUGCCAUGCUUAGGAAUAAUGUAUGGCAAGUAACUGGUCCCACAUACCCUUCUGCAGAUAAGUAAUCCUAUCAAAAGCAGUUGAGUGCAUUUGAUUAAGGAUUACAUGCGAUUAGCAGUCUGCAAGGUUAAGAGUACGACCUGUAUCAUUAAUGAGUAUUCACAUAUUAAUGCUGCUUUGAGCAGGAGGUUGAACUAGAUGACCUCUGAGGUCUGUUCCAACUAGAAUGAUUUUAUGAUUAUCACACUUGUAUUAUGCAAGUAGAUAAUUCAUCUAUAAAAAACAUAUUAAUUGAAUAAGCGAACCUCUAGCAAGUCAUUGCAAUUAUUUUACCUAUUGCAUCAUGUUGUAGCAUGGAGUUGCAAAUUUGACCCAAAUUUAAGAUUUGAAACAGUAAGAGAAAUACAUGCAUGCCUUUUUGUCUAUUGCAUUGAAUUCCUUGUAUACAGUUUUAUAUCAGAUUUAAUUUCUUGUAUAGGAUUCCUUCCUAGCAUACAGUUGACUCUGUUCAAGUUCUGGAACUAGUCCAGAGUAGAGUGCCUGAAUAUUUGAUGCUUUAUGUGCAGUUGAGCUGUGUGAAUGCACUUAAGCUUACUCUGCCUAAUUCAAGUACCGCUAGCACUGAGACUACAGUAACAAAGCUAUCAGUGCAGGUUAGCGGUCUAAGAAAGGCUUGAGGCCUUAAAAACUUUCCAAAGCAAGGAUUCAGAAUGUGAGAUGGCAUUCUUAUAUUUAAAAAAAAAAACAAACCUACCACCACCCCAAAAAAACCCUAACGACCCCCCCCACUGUUAGUCUAUACUAUGUAGAUUCUGAAUAUAUGUAAAUGUCAAGACACAACUGGUUGAGUUUACAUGUUAAUACAUGUUAAGUGAAUAUUAAGAUGAACAGUCUUUAUCAUUAUUUAAGAAAUUGUAUUUUGAUUAACAGUAGUAUGAUCCUUCUCAUUAAGAUGUGGGGGGAAUUCAUAUGGGUUUCCUUCCUGUGUUUGGAUAAAAUUUGUACCUAUUGAUACCUCUUUAACUGUUCUCAUUUAGGAUUGUUAAUUAUUUACUUUUAAGCAAGAAGUGGGUGAUGAGGGAGGAAAAAAUUACUGGCUGUAAAAGGCCAAUCACUUUCACGUGCAUGUGACCAGAAAUGUUUUUAUGUAACAUUUUAACCCUUCCAAAUAUGUGAAUUAACCACAGUAACAGAAUAUAGUUGUUGUCAUGUCUUAUUGGUAGCAGCAUAUUUCAGGGAAAUACUUUGUUGUUUGUAUGCUUUUAUUUAAAAAGAAAAGGAGGAUGGUAACAUAGUAAGUAAUCUGUUAAGGACUUGACAGGUCUUCUGGACUGUUAGGGAGUAUGGAAAGCAAUUAAAAAGAGUAAGAAGCACUAAGGAGCGGAGUGAUUUCUUUAUACUACUCUUCACCACAAAGAUGUUGUGGACAUUUUGUUCUUUUCAAAUAAUGUUGAUGGGACAUUAUCUGAUUAUCAGAUUAGAGAAUCAAAAGAUUGAAUGCUAGAAUAAAGUGCUAAAGACCCCUAAGUCAUGAGGAUUCGAUGUGAUUCAUUCAUUCAGUGGUUCUAAAGGAUGAAGUGGCUGAUCUGCUAAGAAGAAUGCAUCUCGUUAGGAUGAGAUGCUGUGCCAGAAGACUGGAAGCUAUCAAGUGUUGUACGUACCGUACUUUUAAACUGAACACAAGGAGCAGAUCUGGAACUUGCAGACCAAGGACUUGUAUUUUAAUGCCACCACAGUCAUUUGUGUCAUCAUGCAGUGACUUGGAUCAAAAAAUUGAUCCUGACUUCAAGAGGAGUCUAUGGCAAGCAUCAAUUUUUAACCCAGUUCAAUUUUUUCAGAUUAUCUGUAAAUUUUCAAUAAUGGCAAUACAUUCAUUCUGCCAUUUGGAGGAGCCUGUGCCACAGAAUAAUGAUCUGAUGAAAGCUCACUUACUUGCAAUGAAGAGUCUUCAUUUGGGAAAUAGUACUGAUGCAGCUAAGAGGUGCUUUUUCAAGUUCAGCAGAACUAUUAUUGUUCCUAGCACAACCUCCUGUACAUGGACAAAAUUGGGUUUUCCUCAACGAAGAGA